Molecule: ribosomal RNA, 273 nt
Filed under: Streptococcus infantarius subsp. infantarius
Lineage: Bacteria; Bacillati; Bacillota; Bacilli; Lactobacillales; Streptococcaceae
Description: partial 16S ribosomal RNA
Rfam family: Bacterial small subunit ribosomal RNA
Source: RNAcentral
AUAACUAUUGGAAACGAUAGCUAAUACCGCAUAACAGCAUUUAACCCAUGUUAGAUGCUUGAAAGGAGCAAUUGCUUCACUAGUAGAUGGACCUGCGUUGUAUUAGCUAGUUGGUGAGGUAACGGCUCACCAAGGCGACGAUACAUAGCCGACCUGAGAGGGUGAUCGGCCACACUGGGACUGAGACACGGCCCAGACUCCUACGGGAGGCAGCAGUAGGGAAUCUUCGGCAAUGGGGGCAACCCUGACCGAGCAACGCCGCGUGAGUGAAGA